UUACGUGGAUAAGGGUGGCAGGUGGAUGGUUAGGCUAUCAGAGGCGAUGAAGGACGCGCCAAGCUGCGAUAAGUCCGGGGGAGCUGCACAGGAGCUAUGAUCCCGGAAUUUCCGAAUGGGGCAACCCCGUGGGAUAACCCCCACGAUCCCGCAAGGGAGGCGAGACCCGGUGAAUUGAAACAUCUUAGUAGCCGGAGGAAAAGAAAUCGAUCCGAGAUGGCGUCAGUAGCGGCGAGCGAACGCGUCAAAGCCCAAACCAGGUGGUUUACCACCUGGGGUUGUAGGGCCUGCGAUAUGGGAUCAACAAGACGAGCAGAACGACCUGGAAAGGUCGGCCAGAGCGGGUGAUAGCCCCGUACGCGAAGUCGAGUUGGCCCUAGCGGGUACCUGAGUAACGCAAGACUCGUGAAAUCCUGCGUGAAUCUAGGGAGACCACUCUCUAAGGCUAAAUACUCCUGAUAGACCGAUAGCGAAGUAGUAGCGCGAGCGAAAACUGAAAAGGACCCCUGGCGGGGAGUGAAAAGACCCUGAAUCCUGCCACUUACAAGCAGUCGUAGACCUAUGUCGCAAGACAGGUUGGCGGCGUGCCUUUUGCAUAAUGACCCAGCGACUUACCGUUUGCAGCAAGCUUAAGGUCUUACGGACCGGAGGCGUAGGGAAACCGAGUCUGAAUAGGGCGAUCAGUUGCAGGCGGUAGACCCGAAACUUAGUGAUCUAGCCAUGAGCAGGCUGAAGCGAGGGUAAGACCUCGUGGAGGGCCGAACCCGUGACCGUUGAAAAGGUUUGGGAUGACUUGUGGCUAGGAGCAAAAGACUAAUCAAACUGAGAGAUAUCUGGUUCUCCCCGAAAUAUAUUUAGGUAUAGGCUCACGAAACUACGAUGUGGGGGUAGAGCACUGAAUGGGCUAGGGGCCUCACCGGGUUACCAAACCCAAUCAAACUCCGAAUACCAUAUCGACUAUCGUGGGGCUCAGACAGUGGGGGAUAAUCUUCAUUGUCAAAAGGGAAAGAGCCCAGACCAACAGCUAAGGUCCCUAAAGCAUGCUCAGUGGUAAAGGAAGUCAUUGUGCCCAGACAGCCAGGAUGUUGGCUUAGAAGCAGCCACCAUUUAAAGAGUGCGUAACAGCUCACUGGUCGAGCACGAUGGUGCCGAAAAUAACCGGGGCUCAAGCAUGCUACCGAAGCUUUGGCUGUGACAGUUCCUUCGGGAAUCGUCACGGGGUAGGGGAGCGUUGUGUGCAGGUUGAAGGCAGACCGAAAGGACUGCUGGACAGCACACAAGUGAUUAUGCUGGGAUGAGUAACGAUAAAGCAGGUGAGAAUCCUGCUCACCGUAAGCACACGGUUUCCUCCGGAAGGUCAUUCCGCGGAGGGUUAGGCGGUCCCUAAGUCGAGGCCGAUAGGCGUAGACGAUGGAACACGGGUUAAUAUUCCCGUCCUGCCAGUGAAGUGCCCACGGAGAACGCAUGAGACUAACACGGUGGAGCCAGAAGCUGGCCCAUCCGGUGGCGCGGUUUACCUAGUUGAAAGAUUAGGUGCACGCUUCGUCAUCGGCAAACGCCUUGAGCGCUAUAGGCGUGUGAUGUCAUGGUGCCGAGAAAAGCCCGUCGGGAGAUAAUUUCAUUGGCAACCGUACUUCAAACCGACACAGGUGUGCGAGGAGAGUAUCCUCAGGUGCGCGAGAGAACUCUGGUUAAGGAACUCGGCAAAUUCACUCCGUACGUUCGCAAGAAGGAGUGCCGGCGCAAGCCGGCCGCAGUGAAGAGGCCCAACCGACUGUUUACUAAAAACACAGUUCCGUGCAAACUCGAAAGAGGACGUAUACGGAAUGAUGCCUGCCCGGUGCUGGAAGGUUAAGGGGAGGGGUCAGCCGCAAGGCGAAGCUCCGAACUCAAGCCCCAGUAAACGGCGGCCGUAACUAUGACGGUCCUAAGGUAGCGAAAUUCCUUGUCGGGUAAGUUCCGACCUGCAUGAAAGGCAUAACGAGUUGGGCACUGUCUCAACCAGAGACUCGGUGAAAUUGCAGUAUGGGCGAAGAUACCCAUUACCCGCAGCAGGACGAAAAGACCCCGUGAACCUUUACUGUAGUCUUAUCCUGUGUUUCUGUGCAUCAUGUGUAGCAUAGGUGGGAGGCGUUGAUCCGCUGGCGCAAGUCAUCGGGGAGCCAUCAGUGAAAUACCACUCUUGAGGCAUGGAAAUUCUAACCGUUGGUUUGUAACCUUCGGGACACGGUAAGAUGGGCAGUUUGGCUGGGGCGGCUUCCUCCCAAAGCGUAACGGAGGAGCACAAAGGUCAGCUCAGUACGGUUGGCAAUCGUACGUUGAGUGCAAGAGCAUAAGCUGGCUUGACUGCGAGACUUAUAAGUCGAGCAGAGCGGAAACGCGGUUCUAGUGAUCCGGUGGUACCUCGUGGAAGGGCCAUCGCUCAACAGAUAAAAGGUACUCCGGGGAUAACAGGCUGAUCUUCCCCAAGAGUCCCUAUCGACGGGAAGGUUUGGCACCUCGAUGUCGGCUCAUCUCAUCCUGGGGCUGGAGAAGGUCCCAAGGGUAUGGCUGUUCGCCAUUUAAAGAGGUACGCGAGCUGGGUUUAAACCGUCGUGAGACAGGUUGGUCUCUAUCCGCUGUGGGCG
RNAcentral lists this ribosomal RNA (2627 nucleotides) under metagenomes. RNAcentral describes it as "bacterial LSU rRNA". It matches the Rfam family "Bacterial large subunit ribosomal RNA". The record is from RNAcentral.